RNAcentral lists this long non-coding RNA (3158 nucleotides) under Canis lupus familiaris (dog). Its description in RNAcentral is "lncRNA (ENSCAFG00845010373.1)". The record is from RNAcentral. Lineage: Eukaryota; Metazoa; Chordata; Mammalia; Carnivora; Canidae.
CACUACUCAUGCUGUAAAAUUUUAGAGUAAAUCAUACAAAUUGAUAAUUAUGAGAACAAUUAUUUGAAAUAUCAAAUAUUUUAUACAAUAUGUGUGUAAAUAUAAUGUAAAUUAUAAUGAGAGUCUUGAUUUCCUUAAAUUUCUUGGUUUCUUACGUGAAAAGACAGAAUGCAAAAAGGAAACUGUAUUUUAAGAAAAUUACUGAAGCAAAAAUUAGUUUCAACACUACAGUAGUAUUUUCUAAUAAUUUCUAUCUAAAAUGUUUUCUUUAAAAAAAUAAAAAAAAUUUAAAAUAUUUUCUUUAAUGUUAUAGUUAUGCAGAAAAGAUGACGAAAAGUAAAAUAGGGGGUAGCCCAGGUGGCUCAGCGGUUUAGCGCUGCCUUCGGCCCAGGGCGUGAUCUUGGAGUCCUGGGAUCGAGUCCCAUGUCGGGCUCCCUGCAUGGAGCCUGCUUCUCCCUCUGCCUCUCUCUCUCUCUGUCUGUCUCUCAUGAAUAAAUAAAUAAAAUCUUAGAAAAAAACUAAAAUAGGAAACAUCCUAAUACAGUCAUACAAAUAUGUUAGAAACAUCCUGAUAUGAGAUAUGAGGAACAGGGUAAUAAUUCUGAGGAAAGAUUCAGAUUAACAAUAAUUUCAGUGUUGUGUGUUUUAGCAUUUAACCUGAUUCUACUGAAUUGAAUCCUUCCUAUUACUGGUUUAGUUGAUUAGUUAUUUGACUGUGAUACGACCAAUGACAGUAUCAAGAAGAAUGGCAAGAGUUUGAAACAGCAAUAAGAAAAUAAAUGCACCAAAUAGGUACACUCAUAUAUCACUAUGAUCACAUAAAUGAGGUCAUUUUCAAAGAGGUAUUUGGUAGUUUUUUAUUUCCUCCUUUAUUUUUUUUUAUCAUUGAAACAGCAUUUUCCAAGAUUCCAUUAAUUGAAAUCACUGAAAAUACAGUGAUUGAUAGGCUUUAGUUCAGUUAAAAUUGCAUGCAGAGUUUACCAACAGUUAUACUAUUGACCUCCAAAGACAGGGAAUGAUUCAUCAUCUUUGUUCCCCACCUAAAACACUAUUUCUACUCCUUGACUUAUUUUCUUGUUGACUCUUUCUCCAUAAAUCUGACUAGUAACAAGAUUUAUUUGACAUUCCCUAGUAGAUCAUUACUUUGUACACUAAUAAACUCUUGUACUGUCAAAGAUUGGUGGUGAUUAUUUUAGGAAGUAAUCAACUUGGUUUUAGUAUGUUCUGAAUAUACAAAACAGAUGGGAGAAAAUUAAAUGUUACUAUUUGUAAAACUUCCAUUAAGGAGGAAAAUCAACUAAAACAACACAGGGGAAUGAACUGCUACUCAAUACAUAUGGUUACCUAUAAACAAGCUGUGACAUGUUACUAUAUUUAUGUAAAAAUAAUCAAAGGAAUAAUGUUAAUUAUAAGUGGCCACACAACAGAAAAUGUACAAAUACUAACAUUUCCAUAUAUUCCUAAAAUGGAAAAUACUUAAAAAUAGAUUAAUAUACUUAGCAGUUUACCAUUUUACUAAAGAUCUUGAAAGUAGCCUUUUCAUUUUGUUUAAAUAUAACACCUCGGAGUGAGUUAAGUGCCCUAGAUGCCCCAUUUUUGCCUACUCUCUCAACUCUAUAAUUAAACAAGUGCCAUACAUAAUUAAAUUUUUCUAAGACUAGAAUUGAAGUCAUUAAGUUACCAAUGAAAAGAUUAUACAGAUUCUUAAGCUGUAUAUUAAAAGUCAAGAAUCACUUUUGAACAUUCUAAGAGGAGAAAGGCACUCAAAGACUGUAGGAUUUUACUUGAUAUUCAUAUUUUUAGUGCCUUCAAUUAUCUAUUGACUAAAUAAUAUUUCUUAUUUAUUAUAUGAGAAAAGACGUAGGUCUCUUCAAAUUCUAUAGAUUUAGAUGUGAGUCUUUCUAUGAAAAAAACUGUAACGAAUGCUCCACAUUUAUUAAUUUUCCCCUUUCAGAUGUGUUUAUUAAGUAACAUUUUUGGUGCAUAGAAUAGGACUUAAGAUAUUGCUUCAUUUCAUUUCUUUUUUUCAGGGAUGUGUUAUUUGCUUAUGGUCCCAGUCCUAGUAAACUAAUAUAUCUUUGUUUAUAGAUGAACUAGUAUAAGAAAUAUACAACAUCUAGUCAAGUGCAGGUGUUCAUAAAAUGUCUUAUUUGGCCUUCCAAUCCACAUCUAAGAUUUCAAAGACAGGAUUUGUUUUACUAUACUGCAUUGUUACCCUUCUUCAUCUCCUUCUUUCCUUUUUUUUUAUUUAUUUAUUCAUGAUAGAGAGAGAGAGAGAGACAGAGACAGAGACAGAGACACAGGCAGAGGGAGAAGCAGACUCCAUGCCAGGAGCCCGACGCGGGACUCGAUCCCAGGACUCCAGGAUCGCGCCCUGGGCCGAAGGCAGGCGCUAAACCGCUGAGCCACCCAGGGAUCCCCCUUUCCUAAUAAAUAUCACUAUUACAACUUGAUACUUUUUGUGCAUUAAUGAGAAUGGCAAGCAUAGAAGAUUCAAUUUCAAUUCAACCUACAUUGCCUUCCUCUUCCUGCAUUACAGGCAAAGGAGCUAAGUCAUAUGUGGUGAGACAAUCACUGAGACAUUAAUUUAUGAUCUCUUCCUAAUGCUGUUGGUGUAUGUAACGAAUAAGAUGUGAUCUUAAACCUGCUUUCCUCAAUGGCCUAUUAAUGUCCUUAAUAUACUUUAAUAUCUUAAUGAAACACAAAGUUAGGAUAUAAUUUGUAAAAGCAGAAGGGAGGGUGUCUAGAUGGUGUCCAGUAGGCACCAGGAAGAAGAUCAAGUUUCUGUGGGCCACACUCGCUCAUGAGUUUCUGGGGAUGACUGUGCGGUGCUGCCUGCUGCUGGGCUGUGCUCAGGGAGCUCUAGAAGUCAGCCCUGAAAAGAUUACUGGAUUUAAACCAGGGAAAAAUGCAGCAGUGAAGCCAUCUUCAAAGUAGCCUGGAUCAACGACCGUUAUCACUCGGAUCUGUGUGAUAGGAUAAAGGAAAAUCUCCCCUUCAGGGUUGUAAUUAGGAUUCUAAGGAAGACAGUCUUCCCACUUUGUCCAAUUUUUCAAUUGAAAGUGGAUUUCAUCCAAGCCUGGAGAAUAGGUGCAUUGAGCAGCUUAAACUGGGUUUCAAGAAAUACACAAAGUAAAAAAAAAAAAAAAAAAAAAAAA